UUAAGUUCAGCGGGUAGUCCUACCUGAUUUGAGAUCAAACAUUCAAAAGAAGCCCCCUCCUCACUGAGGAGAGACCUUUAUGAGCUCCAGCGAACCUCCAUCACUGAAGGUUACCUGAUGGAAAACCACAAGCGUAGAUAGUUAUCACACCUGCGAUGCCACCAAACACUGGCAAGCUGAUUCGUUUAAGAGGAGCCGAC
RNAcentral lists this unclassified non-coding RNA (200 nucleotides) under Thelephoraceae sp. Its description in RNAcentral is "partial internal transcribed spacer 2". Lineage: Eukaryota; Fungi; Basidiomycota; Agaricomycetes; Thelephorales; Thelephoraceae. The record is from RNAcentral.